Molecule: long non-coding RNA, 961 nt
Filed under: Equus caballus (horse)
Lineage: Eukaryota; Metazoa; Chordata; Mammalia; Perissodactyla; Equidae
Description: lncRNA (ENSECAG00000059365.1)
Source: RNAcentral
GCUCAGGCAACCUGAGCAACUCGCCAAAAUGGCAGAAGCCACCACCUUAAAUAUCAUCUUCAGCUAAAGAUAAAGGAGGAUGUUGGGGGAGUUUACCAGACAAGUACAGUAAACAAGAUGCAGAUUUAAGUCCUUGCCUUUGGCAUUGAUUGAGUUUCUAGAGAUAAGGUCAUCCCUCCUUCUUCCUGGUACAGAGAGGGAGACACCUUUACAGACGGAGAUUUCCUUUACAAUGUAAAUGUGUCUUAACAAAGGUGGGCUGGAACCAAACCUGCAAUAUCUCCAAGGUGUGUCUAUACCUAAGAACACGGCUUCUCACAGACCUGACUCCCCUACACAAACAAGACGUGGAUAGCCACCAAGUUCCCUCCCACAUAUGCAGAGAAGAUUCCCUCGCACCAUUAAUGCGUGUGACUUGCUUCAGUCAACGGAACGUGAGCAAAUGUACACAAGGAGAAGGCUUAAACGUGCUCCUGUGGGUUGCUGUGGCCUCUGGAGCCCCCUGAUGACCACUGGAGCAGUAGGCUCCAAGAGUCACUGCACCUUCAGCUGGGGCCCCAGGACAAGAUUCAGGGAGCACACCAGCACCCAUCCUGAGGCUGGAAGCAGAGCCACCCCAGCUGACCUGUGGGAACGAAAAAUGAAUCCUUGCUAUUGUGAACUACUGAGAGUUGGAGCAGUUUGUUUACAAGCCUUAUCGAAGCGGGAGCUGACUAAUACACCAUUGGAGGCCUUAAAUCAAAGGAAUAAAGUAAUCUGAAUUGUGUCUUAGUAGGCCCACUCUGACAGCUGUUUAGAGAGUAGAAGGAAGAAAGACGAGAGUGGAAACAGACCAGUUUGGAGGCUACUGUGAGAAUCUGGAUGAGGGAUGGCGGUGCCUUAGAUCAGUCUCUGCUGGACCUUUAUCAUCUCUCAUUUGGAUUAUAAAGAUCUCAUUUGGAUCCUAAAUAGAUUCUCUGCC